AUUGAACGCUGGCGGCAGGCCUAACACAUGCAAGUCGAGCGGAUGACGGGAGCUUGCUCCUUGAUUCAGCGGCGGACGGGUGAGUAAUGCCUAGGAAUCUGCCUGGUAGGGGGGGACAACGUUUCGAAAGGAACGCUAAUACCGCAUACGUCCUACGGGAGAAAGCAGGGGACCUUCGGGCCUUGCGCUAUCAGAUGAGCCUAGGUCGGAUUAGCUUGUUGGUGAGGUAAUGGCUCACCAAGGCGACGAUCCGUAACUGGUCUGAGAGGAUGAUCAGUCACACUGGAACUGAGACACGGUCCAGACUCCUACGGGAGGCAGCAGUGGGGAAUAUUGGACAAUGGGCGAAAGCCUGAUCCAGCCAUGCCGCGUGUGUGAAGAAGGUCUUCGGAUUGUAAAGCACUUUAAGUUGGGAGGAAGGGUUGUAGAUUAAUACUCUGCAAUUUUGACGUUACCGACAGAAUAAGCACCGGCUAACUCUGUGCCAGCAGCCGCAGUAA
Molecule: ribosomal RNA, 500 nt
Filed under: uncultured bacterium
Lineage: Bacteria
Description: partial 16S ribosomal RNA
Rfam family: Bacterial small subunit ribosomal RNA
Source: RNAcentral